AAAAGCGAAAUUACCUAUCCACGUGCGAGACUUCCGAGCAAUUAUUUCUAGCAAUACAACAACCACGUUCCACCCCGUCGGCAUGCUUCUAAGGUGGCGCAAGACGAACCCAACAAGCUUCAGAUCCAGCAAAAGAAAACUAGGCGAAAAUCCAGAAAGCAGAAAAAGACGAGAGGCUUUAGGUAUGCUCAGAUUAUUAAUUAACUUAUGCAACCUCGCCCUAUAUUUAUAACCUAGGCGAGAAUCUUGCUUCAACGCGUCAAAUUAGUAUAGAACAAGAUAAGCUUAAGAUUAUACGGAUAAUGAUCAGAAUUAGGAUAAAGAUAAAGAUAAGAAUUAAAAUAAAAUAAACUGGGUGUAUGAACCGCACACGCCGCCCGCCUGGCUCGGCUUGUACUCGUGCUCGUGCUCGUACCGUGCGUCUGUGUAUUUAAACGAUAGCAUUACUCUCAUUUUCUUUCAAGCAACUGGCUUGAGAACAAGGGAAUAUAUAAAAACAACAAACACCCUUUUGAUUUCCAAUCUCGGAUUAAAUAUCACACAUGAAAAUUUUAGUUGAGCUCCCCAAACGGCCCAUUAAUAAUUAUUGGGCUCUCAAGAGAUUUUAACAAGUUUUAAAUCAUAACAAACUCAAUAAAAUUCAAUAAUAUAAGUCACAGUUCUACUCAAGGUUGUAGUAACAACCAACCACCAUCUCUAGAGCAAGUGAUUGGUAUCCAAAGUUCUAAGUUUGAAUUCUAUUUGAUUUACAUUUUCAACUAAGUUUAUUUCUAAAUGAAAUAAACGAAGCGGAUAGCACGCUAUCUAUCUAAAAAAAAAAGAAGUUAUAUUAACAAACUAUUAUGGUUUAAAAACAAUUUUUACCGUGCAUCGCACAUUUUUAUUUAUUUUAUUUAAAAUAAGAUACAUGAUAAAAAUAAAAUAUUUAUAGAGAAAUUUGUUAGUGACUGUUAAGGAAAAAAAAAAUUGAUGAAUAU
RNAcentral lists this long non-coding RNA (977 nucleotides) under Ananas comosus (pineapple). RNAcentral's name for it is "long non-coding RNA (ACOM_LNC038416)". Lineage: Eukaryota; Viridiplantae; Streptophyta; Magnoliopsida; Poales; Bromeliaceae. The record is from RNAcentral.